AGAUAAUUAGUCUAAAAUAAAACAUUUGAUUUCGGCUCAAAAGACUGUGGUUUAAGUCCGCAAUUAUCUA
RNAcentral lists this transfer RNA (70 nucleotides) under Diplacanthopoma brachysoma. RNAcentral's name for it is "tRNA-Arg". It matches the Rfam family "tRNA". Rfam says of the family: Transfer RNA (tRNA) molecules are approximately 80 nucleotides in length. Their secondary structure includes four short double-helical elements and three loops (D, anti-codon, and T loops). The record is from RNAcentral. Lineage: Eukaryota; Metazoa; Chordata; Actinopteri; Ophidiiformes; Bythitidae.